AUUGAACGCUGGCGGCAGGCCUAACACAUGCAAGUCGAGCGGUAGAGAGAAGCUUGCUUCUCUUGAGAGCGGCGGACGGGUGAGUAAUACCUAGGAAUCUGCCUGAUAGUGGGGGAUAACGUUCGGAAACGGACGCUAAUACCGCAUACGUCCUACGGGAGAAAGCAGGGGACCUUCGGGCCUUGCGCUAUAAGAUGAGCCUAGGUCGGAUUAGCUAGUUGGUGAGGUAAUGGCUCACCAAGGCUACGAUCCGUAACUGGUCUGAGAGGAUGAUCAGUCACACUGGAACUGAGACACGGUCCAGACUCCUACGGGAGGCAGCAGUGGGGAAUAUUGGACAAUGGGCGAAAGCCUGAUCCAGCCAUGCCGCGUGUGUGAAGAAGGUCUUCGGAUCGUAAAGCACUUUAAGUUGGGAGGAAGGGCAUUAACCUAAUACGUUAGUGUCUUGACGUUACCGACAGAAUAAGACACCGGCUAACUCUGUACCAGC
Molecule: ribosomal RNA, 490 nt
Filed under: uncultured bacterium
Lineage: Bacteria
Description: bacterial SSU rRNA
Rfam family: Bacterial small subunit ribosomal RNA
Source: RNAcentral